CCAGACUCCUACGGGAGGCAGCAGUGGGGAAUAUUGGGCAAUGGGCGCAAGCCUGACCCAGCAACGCCGCGUGAAGGAAGAAGGCUUUCGGGUUGUAAACUUCUUUUAUUCGGGACGAAGCAAGUGACGGUACCGAAUGAAUAAGCCACGGCUAACUACGUGCCAGCAGCCGCGGUAAUACGGAGGAUGCGAGCGUUAUCCGGAUUUAUUGGGUUUAAAGGGUGCGUAGGCGGAAUGCCAAGUCAGCGGUAAAAUCGCGGGGCCCAACCUCGCUCCGCCGUUGAAACUGGCGUCCUUGAGUGGGCGAGAAGUAUGCGGAAUGCGUGGUGUAGCGGUGAAAUGCAUAGAUAUCACGCAGAACUCCGAUUGCGAAGGCAGCAUACCGGCGCCCAACUGACGCUGAAGCACGAAAGCGUGGGUAUCGAACAGGAUUAGAUACCCUAGUAGA
This 448-nucleotide ribosomal RNA is filed under the name uncultured bacterium. RNAcentral's name for it is "bacterial SSU rRNA". It matches the Rfam family "Bacterial small subunit ribosomal RNA", at positions 331 to 794 of the family's 1533-position model. The record is from RNAcentral.